GCUCACGUGGCUGAAUGGUUAGAGCAUCCUCCUGUUCUACCUGGCGUGCGCGUUUACACGGACGGGGCGGGUUCGACUCCCGCCACGGGCA
Non-coding RNA from Mycena alexandri, 91 nucleotides. NCBI's taxonomy places the organism in Eukaryota, Fungi, Basidiomycota, Agaricomycetes, Agaricales, Mycenaceae. The record is from the annotation of a GenBank genome assembly.